This 75-nucleotide transfer RNA is filed under the name Pseudolactococcus insecticola. RNAcentral describes it as "Lactococcus insecticola tRNA-Asp". It matches the Rfam family "tRNA". Rfam says of the family: Transfer RNA (tRNA) molecules are approximately 80 nucleotides in length. The record is from RNAcentral. Lineage: Bacteria; Bacillati; Bacillota; Bacilli; Lactobacillales; Streptococcaceae.
UGGACCCGUAGUGUAGCGGUUAUCACGUCGCCCUGUCACGGCGAAGAUCGCGGGUUCAAUUCCCGUCGGGACCGU